CACAAGCUUCCAUGGCGGUUUGAUUUGAGUGGAAAGAGAAGCUUUUUAUGAGAAGCCCAUGAGGUAGUGAAAAUUUGAGUUUGUAUCUCUCUCUGUUUUCUUGUGACAGAAAUUGAUUUCCUUUUUUGUCGGUGUCUGUGAAGUGCAGAGCAGGUUUUGGAUUCAAGAAAUUGAUGAGAAAAAAUGGGCUUUGAGUAAAAACUAUAAUAAUAAGUCUUUUGAUAAAAAGUGACUAGUGGUAAGAGGAUUAACCCAAAAGACAAAACUCUUUUAUUUGUUUGAGUGAAGUCUAAGUAACAAAAAAACUUUGUCUGGGUCUCUUUGGAUAAUGAGAAGAAGAAGAAGAAGAAGUAGAAAGAGGAGAAGAUGAAAAAGAUUUUUAUUAUUCAAUGGAAAUUAGAUUUGUGGUUUCUUUAUUUUAAAAUUUGUUUCCU
Molecule: long non-coding RNA, 434 nt
Filed under: Arabidopsis lyrata
Lineage: Eukaryota; Viridiplantae; Streptophyta; Magnoliopsida; Brassicales; Brassicaceae
Description: long non-coding RNA (ALYR_LNC001511)
Source: RNAcentral